RNAcentral lists this small nuclear RNA (23 nucleotides) under Arabidopsis thaliana (thale cress). RNAcentral describes it as "snRNA_06526". Lineage: Eukaryota; Viridiplantae; Streptophyta; Magnoliopsida; Brassicales; Brassicaceae. The record is from RNAcentral.
AAGUACUUGGCAUUAAACUCAGC